RNAcentral lists this ribosomal RNA (392 nucleotides) under uncultured bacterium. Its description in RNAcentral is "partial 16S ribosomal RNA". It matches the Rfam family "Bacterial small subunit ribosomal RNA", at positions 523 to 918 of the family's 1533-position model. The record is from RNAcentral.
ACACGUAGGGGCCUGACGUUGUUCGGAAUCAUUGGGCGUAAAGGGCGCGCAGGCGGCCGUCCAAGUCCGGUGUUAAAUGGUCGGGCUCAACCCGAUCAUGCGCUGGAAACUGGGCGGCUUGAGUCCCGUAGGGGAUGCCGGAAUUCCAGGUGUAGGGGUGAAAUCUGUAGAUAUCUGGAAGAACACCGAUGGCGAAAGCAGGCAUCUGGCCGGAGACUGACGCUGAGGCGCGAAGGCGCGGGGAGCGAACAGGUUUAGAUACCCUGGUAGUCCGCGCAGUAAACGAUGCGCACCAGGUGUCGGGCGGCAGCGCCCGGUACCGGAGCUAACGCGAUGAGUGCGCCGCCUGGGGAGUAUGCCCGCAAGGGUGAAACUCAAAGGAAUUGACGGGG